CCUACGGGGGGCAGCAGUGGGGAAUAUUGGACAAUGGGGGCAACCCUGAUCCAGCCAUGCCGCGUGUGUGAAGAAGGCCCGCGGGUUGUAAAGCACUUUCAGUGAGGAAGAACGCCUGGUGGUUAAUACCCAUCAGGAAAGACAUCACUCACAGAAGAAGCACCGGCUAACUCCGUGCCAGCAGCCGCGGUAAUACGGAGGGUGCGAGCGUUAAGCGGAAUUACUGGGCGUAAAGCGCGCGUAGGUGGCUUGAUAAGCCGGUUGUGAAAGCCCCGGGCUCAACCUGGGAACGGCAUCCGGAACUGUCAAGCUAGAGUGCAGGAGAGGAAGGUAGAAUUCCCGGUGUAGCGGUGAAAUGCGUAGAGAUAGGGAGGAAUACCAGUGGCGAAGGCGGCCUUCUGGACUGACACUGACACUGAGGUGCGAAAGCGUGGGUAGCAAACAGGAUUAGAUACCCUAGUAGUC
Molecule: ribosomal RNA, 465 nt
Filed under: Vreelandella stevensii
Lineage: Bacteria; Pseudomonadati; Pseudomonadota; Gammaproteobacteria; Oceanospirillales; Halomonadaceae
Description: partial 16S ribosomal RNA
Rfam family: Bacterial small subunit ribosomal RNA
Source: RNAcentral